This 34-nucleotide ribosomal RNA is filed under the name Blumeria graminis. RNAcentral describes it as "partial 18S ribosomal RNA". The record is from RNAcentral. Lineage: Eukaryota; Fungi; Ascomycota; Leotiomycetes; Helotiales; Erysiphaceae.
ACCUUCCGUAGGUGAACCUGCGGAAGGAUCAUUA